UAUGACUUUGAAAUCUGCCAUGAGGAAUCCAAAUUAGUAAGACGUGCUGGAAGAUUUCACAGCUGGAGUCCUUUGCAGGAAAUGCUUUCUCUGAAUUGUGCUCAGGGAAUGGACUUUCAGACAAACUAAGCUGGAAAGAGACAUUGAUUUAAUUUGGUGAGGGAUGUGCUGUCUGUCUGAUGCCUUGUUUUCUGCUUGCUCGUGUCUUGCCAACAAUUAUCUUGUCAAGAGGUAAUGUAGGCAACAGAGAAGCAGUUACAAAACUUCUGAUAAAGUAUGCUAGUGCUGCACUGGAAGCCGGAGGAGUUGUGGAGCAGUCUGAAAUCUUCUGCAGAAUUUAAUUCCUAUAUAUUUCCCAAUGUGGAGAGCAAAACCCUCCUGGAAGACUGUGAGCUCUGAUUGCAUGCAGAUGAUGUGCUGUAGGAGAGAAUCGAUAUUGUCAGAGACAUCUACAGAACAUAUGCAGAAAUUCUUCAGCACGACUGCAGCUGGCAGA
Hirundo rustica (Barn swallow) is the source of this 496-nucleotide long non-coding RNA. RefSeq lists it as uncharacterized. The transcript is spliced from 3 exons. The record is from RefSeq and is a predicted model, not a curated record. NCBI's taxonomy places the organism in Eukaryota, Metazoa, Chordata, Aves, Passeriformes, Hirundinidae.